Dromaius novaehollandiae (emu) is the source of this 901-nucleotide long non-coding RNA. RefSeq lists it as uncharacterized. NCBI's taxonomy places the organism in Eukaryota, Metazoa, Chordata, Aves, Casuariiformes, Dromaiidae. The transcript is spliced from 5 exons. The record is from RefSeq and is a predicted model, not a curated record.
UGUGAAUACAGGAUUUCUCCUCUGUACACAUCCUCGCACAGAAAAAGAGAGAGACCGGGCAGCACAUUUCCCUCCAACAACCCCGUGAAGAUAAAAAAAAUCAUAGUUUCUAUCAAGGGGUCGUAAUUCCAACUAAAUACACAGGAGCAAAAUAAACAACGCAUGCCUAAAAUACUCAGUUCCAGUGUAAACAGUACAAAUGGGCAGGAUAUGUGUCUCUGAAGAACAAACGUGCAAGAACCAGGCCAGACCUCCCGUGUUUUAAUCUGAACCCCGGAGCAGAAGGGCUACGUGGCGAGAGGAACCUGCAGAGGCAUUGCAGUCUAUUACCACUGAGUUUCUAUUUAGUCCUUUGGAUCAGAAGAAUUUAAACAGGUCUAAAUUGAGGAUGAGCAGAUAUUGAAAUGCCCCACUUAUUGUGCCUGGGUGCCAAAGGAGGCCAUGGAAGUGUCAAAAGCUGAUGGAAAAAAACAAACCAGAACAAAUCCUCCAGUAACUCAAGACACGAAGGAAUGACUGGAGGUCCACCACCAACUGACAGAAGAAGCUAAGAUGCUGGAAUAAGAAGCAGUGGCUCCAUGUGUGAAACAAGCUUUGCAUUGCUGAGUUUAUAAGAACAGAAAACAUUGAGUUUUCUGUUCUACUUACUGAGUAAAGUCCCAGGAAAAAAAAUUCAGUGCCCCACUUGGGAUAUCCAUUUUCCUAGCUAACAUUUGCACAUUGCAGAGUUUUCUUCUUGAGACUAAGUGCAUCCCAGGGGCAGCUGCCUCCACUAGUCCCAUUUCAGACUCCAUUCAUCACCAUAUGUGAAAGAAGUUUCAGCUAAUUUCUUUAAGUAUUAGAUUUUUUUUUUAAGUUUUGGUUCACCCCUUCUUAUUAUAAAGGCUGCCUGUAGCCCUCU